Non-coding RNA from Rattus norvegicus (Norway rat), 14342 nucleotides. Lineage: Eukaryota; Metazoa; Chordata; Mammalia; Rodentia; Muridae. The record is from RefSeq and is a predicted model, not a curated record.
CCCUGAAAUAUAUAAAAAGAAGUAUAUUAAAACAUGUCAAUACAUGAUGGCUUGAUGUGCUCAUUCGCUGUCAAUGGGAGCUUGAGUUCGCACAGAGUAGCUCUGUUUCGUGCUGCUGUUCUGGCAGCUGAACGGGCUUAAGGAUUCUUUAGGAUAUAUCUCUUCGUGGAUAUUAUGACAUUUAAAAAUUUUUAAAUUAUUUAAGUUUAAAUUAUUUAAAUUUAGGUAUUAGAAUACCUAACAAAAUACCUGACAUUUAGUAAUUUCAAAAUAAUAAUUACUGUAUACUUUCUUUUGUUAGUCUUUCUUUUAAAGCAAAAUAUCUGACAUUUAAAACAACUUUAUUUUGUGGUAUAAGUGUUUUGCCUACAUGUAUGUCUGUGCACCACGUGAGUACAGUGCAUAACGGAGGCCAGAACAGAACAUUAGAUCUCCAGGGACAGGAGUUAUUGACAACUGUUAGCUGGAUGCUGGGUGCUCUUAACCACUGAGCCAUUUCCCAGCUCUGGUACACUGAUAUUUUAAAUAGAAACCCCUGGCUUUCACAGCAGGCAAUCUAAUAGAUAAGUUUAACAAAUGACUUUUCCCCCAAAAGGGCUUGAUUUCUACUAAUUUUUCUCUACUAGCAAACUUAGUCACUUAACUCCCCAUGCCUACCUCCAUGUUUGGUAGAUGUGCCUUCGUAUAUAUACAAAUUAAUUGUCCCCCAAGUUUCUGGACUAUAGACAGACAGUAAGCCAUGUUGUCUGUAAGAUACUGGUGUCUUAAAAGCUAUGAUGCCCUGACCUCUGGUGAUAAGCAAGCUAUCUGACUGGAGGUGUACUUGUAAUAAGAUAAAUUUCUCUUAUUACCAUUUUACUGUUUAGCUAUUCGAUAUUUGUCAUAUAAAUACCUGUCUUCAAAGACCAUUCAACAUCAGUCAUUAAGCCCUGUAUCUAUGUGUCAUUAAAGCAAAAUACCUAAACAAGUUGUGACUAAAACUAACUCAGUCAGAGUAAUUCCCAACUUCCUAGACCCUGGCGUGACAAGUGAGUUCUAGAAGCAAGGGCUUGAAGAACCAACUUUAGACCUCCAACCACAAGUCACACUGGAGUCAAAGUGGGCUGAAGAGAAAAGUGGCCGUGCUUUACUCUAUCCGUUCAUCCCGUAGGAAGCACUGAGAGAACUCUUAACCCACUAAUGCUUCCACACUAGAUACUAGAGGGAGUCUGGAGAACAAGUACCCAACAGAUCUCAGCCACUUUAAACGUCUUCACUCUUGGAAUCACCUGGUCCAGUACUAUGAACUAUCAGAAAACAACUUAAGGUUCUCGCCUCCCACCAAGUGGAUCUGAAGGAUCAAACUUAGUCCUCAGUCUUGAGAGCCAUCUCACUGUCCCUUCAAUCUAUUUUUACAAUGAAGAAAAAUGCCAAUGAUACUAAAACAAUGGUGCAGAAAAAUAAAAAUCCUGAGAAAGACAGCUGUAAGAUGGGAUAUCUACAACCAUUUAGAAGACAAAGAAGACAGAAGCUGACAGCAUUUACACUCUUGUCAAGUUCUGACAGUAUGUGAGUCUCAGCUGUGUUAAUUCUAAUUAAUGACUUUGAUGUUAGAGAAAUGUCAUAGCUAAUGUACAAAGGGCAAUGGACUCCUUGUUCUUCUGGGAACUGAUUCUCAUAAAGUAGCAUCCCAUUCUGCUAAUUAUUUUGUUUAGACUUACUCCUUUCCUAGAAUGAUGGAAAACUAAUUAUCAAAUACACAUUUUAUAUGUUUAUCUCACUAUAAUUUUAAAUAUCUUAAAAUAUACUUUCCUUUAUGUAGAAAGUACUAUGUGCAUUAACAAUUACAGCAGUCACUGCUGCAAACUUCAUAAUUUAGACAUUCAGAGCAGUGCUUCAACGUUUGCUUAAAUACAAUGUAAAGUGUACCAAGUCCUCAACUUAUUGUUCUAUUUUAAAAUCAUCUAAGAGUAAGGCCGUAGAAAGGGGAAUAGGAUUAAAAUUACCACUUUAAUCUGGUCAAGGCCAUUACUUCAAAGUUUAAUUUUCAAAUUGCAUUAUAAUGUUAAAUUGUACCAUGGUUUCUAAAACUAAAGUAGGGUUUUACCCAAUCGUGAAAGUUUUGAGUUCAUAAUCCCAUGAAGAUCCCUGCAAGUAUGGCCAUUGCUUCUGCAUCUACAUCUCUUAGCAGUCUUAAAACACUGUGAUUGCUUCUUGUCUCCAUGGAACUCCUAUAUUACAACAGCCUCCAGCAAAAGCACGAACUUCAACAUGAGGUUUUAUCAUCUUACUAAGUAAAGAAUUUGCUGAGUUAGAAAUGUAAUCUGGGUUAAUUUAGACAGGACAGUCAAAGAGUCCACCCUGUCUUUCCUAGGAAGUACUUGUAUGCUAUAAUCUUAACAUGCAAUGGGCACACAAAGAUAAAACAUAUGGUCCAGCUCUCCAGGAUUCUACUGUCUAAUAAAGGAAUGACACAUAAGCUAUUUUAGUGCAACAUAGGAAGCCAUAGUAAAAAUAGUAUAUUGAAAAUACACAAAGCCACAAUGGCCAUUUUAAGGGACUGAGGAGAUUCUUAUAGACAGGGAUAUGUUGGCUGACUAACCAAACUAGGGAUAGGAGUACUGGUGAUCCAAACAAGAGUCAAGGCUAAGGGAAGGCAGAAAUAACCUGUGUAAGGACAAACAGGCAGAUGACAUUGUUUCAGAUAUAAAAUUUUAAAAGGCUAAGGAAAGGGAGGGUGUUAAGGAUCACAUUAGAGGUGUUUAGGGAUACUGACAGUGUGCUCACUGUGUAAAUCAGUGACUAGAUUUACAAGUAAGAGACUAGCAUUCCUCUGAAGCAGCCUGAAGCAGUGAAUGACAUCAGCUACAAGUAAAUAGCACAGGAGAAAUCAAUAAUAACAUAACAGACAAAGUCAUAGCACAGGAAUCUACAGCUGCUUCUAAAUGGGUACAGGAAUGGGCCUUACUAGGCCUUUCUGGCCAAACUAUUAUUAUAUAUUUUUUACUUAAAAACUGCUGGUGAUCUUAAAACUUAAAUCUCAUUUCCCUUAAAAAUAAAUUAUCAGUUCCAAAUGUUUAGCUUACUUAAAACUAAUGAAGUCAAUAGAGCUCAUGAAGAAUGCAGAUUAGUCUACUGUAGCCAUCAAAAAGGGUCAAUUAUAAAAACCACAUUUAAAAUAAAUGUACUCGUUACAGAAACAAAUGACAAGUUUCUUAUCUUUUAAUAUUUCAAAGCAGAACACCACAUCUAAGUGGUUCUUACUGCUUUGUUACCUUUGAAAGACAUCUGCUUUGUACCAAAAUGAAUAUGCUGAACUUACCAGAUUACAUUAUAACGCAUUUUUUAAUUUUCACACAGCCAGGAGUCUUUUCUUCUUUGCUGAUUUUUUUCAAUCUGUACUGUCGGAUCUCUCUCACCAAUGUAUAAAAAGCAUCCUCCACUCUCUGCAUUGUAAAACACAACUUCUUUAAAGUCUGUUUCAUUUGGAAGAGUAAUUUAUUGGGAUAGCCAUGUGUAAGACCUUUGAAUUAUGAGCUUUACAGUUGAGAAAUUUGUGUUUUGUUUUUUUUUUUUUAAAGCAGACAUCAGACUGAAUAAAAUUGAGGAUGCAGGGUUAAAACAUGAGCUAGAAUCUGGUUUGUUCUUAAAAGUGUUUACAUAUUUUGGUAUUAAGAGUUUAAGUGAAAAGCCUAACUAUAUGUGUAUGUUUCUCAAUACAAGAGUUUAAGUUUGAUGAACUGCAGUUAGGAAGGUGCAGACUUUCCCUGGAUAAAGGAAAGACUUGUGAUUGCCACUGAUGCCCACCUUUGACCCAGUGGGGAAGCGAAUGAAAGGCAUACUAGGAACCUGAGGCCUUGUUAAAACCAAACCCCAAAAUCCAUGUCCUAACCAAGGAGAGUCCAGAUACUCCUAUAGGACCCCCAGUUUCAUCUUCAAUUAGAUAGUUCCCAGUCAAUUUCUAGUCCUUUUGAGACUGCUACCACAGAGAAUGGGAGGUUAAAAUAUUUAAAUGAGAAGUGAAACAGGGGCCAGUUGCCAAGACAAGAAAGCGUCACAAACCACUUAAAAUAUAUAGAAUAGGAGCAAUGCACGUCUCCUUACAUGUCUCCCACAGCCUGCAGAGCACUGUUCAGAUGCACUCAACCUAUCCUGUCCUUCAUAUGCUUGAGUGUUUUGCCUGUAUGUAUGUCUGUGCAGCCUGUGCACAUCUGAAACCGCCAAAGGUCCUAAUGAAUCUGAUCUCCUAGAACUGAAGUUAGCAAUGGUUGUGAGCCACCAUAUGGGUCCUGGGAACCCAGAUCCUCUGCAGGAACGGUGCUCUUAACUGCUGAGCCAUCUCUCCAUCCACUCCAUCCAAUGGGAUGUUCUGAUUUAGAAUCAUAAAUAGCCUUUAUGAAGAAAAAGGUUUUCAACUUUCUCAAAGAAAAAAUCAGGCAACAGCUUGAAAAGUGCAAAGUACUUAUAAGUGUAAUGCUAGUUUCUUCAGAAAAAUUCAACAAAGUUUUUAUCUAAGAGCAAUAUCCGGAAAUUUCACAUAUAAAUAAUACAAAUUUAACUUCAGAUGCAAUACUGAUGUCCACACUUCUAAAAAAGAUAAAUACUGGGUUGGGGAUUUAGCUCAGUGGUGGAGCGCUUGCCUAGGAAGUGCAAGGCCCUGGGUUCGGUCCCCAGCUCCGAAAAAAAAUAACCCCCCCCCAAAAAAAAAGAUAAAUACUUAUGUAAUAAAAUAUGCCAGAUUUCCUGUUUAAUUUAAAACAUUUCAUUUUAAUAGUGAAUUGCUUGUGUCAGUGACUGGUUUAUUUUUUAUUUUCUAGAAUUGGUAAAAGUCAAUGUUUCCACUGAACCAAAUAUGAUAAAAUGCACCUAGCACCUACAAAGCAACUAAAAACUUGAGAUCAGGCACUUGGCCUUAAGGGCAAUAAGCCAACAGCUAGUGCUUGAGUUUUUCAUGUAUCAGUCACUUGCAGCCUUUAAUAGUGAAGUUAUUAGAUCAGUUAUUAGAUCAGUUAUUUAGGGCAUAUUACGUUUUACAAAUCUCUAAAGUAUAUUAAGAACUGAACCAGUGAAGUUCAGUAAUUUACCUUUAAAAUUCAUAAAAUUUAGUUUCAGCAAAGGAGGCAUUUAAAUAAUAUGAGUCCACAUUAAAGUACAAACUUCUAGCAAAUACAAUACGCCAUCCAGUGAAAAUAAGUUAGAGUAUUUUUAUUACUUUCAAUUUUUUCAGUCUUAAAUUAUUUUCUAAUAAUAAAAUUAUUAUAGCCCCAGAAAAAUCUUCUUUAAAAAAUUUGUGUUUGUGUGUGUGUUUGUGUGUGUGUGUGUGUGUGUGUGUGUGUGUGUGUGUGUGUGUGUGUGUGUAUGCGCGUGCGCACAGGUAGGUGUCUUUGGAGGCCUGAAGAAGGCACCAGAUGAACUGGAGCUGGAGUAACUGGUGGGUGUCAGCUACCCAAGUGGGAGGUAGGAACCAAAGCCAGGUCCUCUGCAAGAGCCACCAGCACUCUCAACCCCUGAGCCACCUCUCCAGCAUCCCAACCCAAUUUUAUUUUAAUGAAAUCAAUUUAAAACACGACUUAUCCUACCAAGAAAGAAAGCAUUUCAACUUUUAAAAACCAUUAAAUGUCAGCAUUUGAAAUAAAAUCCCUAGUUGUAUCUGAGUGGACUAGCUCUUAGUAGUUUUACCAUUCAUUUUCAAGACAAAGAAAGCUUUCCUUAUUCUUUACUCUUCUAUCACAAAUGGUCAUAUGAUAUAAAGUAAGUUAUUUAAGAUAAAUGACUUGCAAAGUAUUUAAAAUGUAAAGUAUGACUGGUCAACUUAUAUUUCAUAAAUAUUCUUUUUUAAUUCGAAAGUCAAUGAAAAAUUUUCCAAAUAUUUACACAUUUCUUUAUAGAAAGAGACAAACCAGGCAAAAGCUCAUAUUUUCUUAAGAUCUUAAAGAAUGUAAAUAUUCCUUUUUAUAAAAAAGUUCAAUGUUAUUGCAAAGGUCAAUGUGCUAUGAAGGAAGGGAGGAAAAAGAGGGAGGGUCUUUGUCCUCUAACAGAAGCAAAAUUUGAUUGUAACACACUUCUAAGUCAGUUUGCUGUGUCUGCUGCUUUAAUGAAAGCUUCCCAUCACCGACUCAGACCGUAUGAUUGUUGUUUCCAGCAAUGCAGAGAGAGGAUUGGAAGCCAAUAAUUAGACAACCACAACCACCCAUCACCAGGAAUUUAGCAUUAGGAUCUCAGUAGCCAAGAAAAUUAAAACCAAGAAAUGUUUACGAUUCAAAAACUUUCUCUUUCUUAGCUUUAUGAAUAUAAAAUUCAUUUUAAAAAGUUAUUUACCACAUUUUACAUACUUUGUUAUUCCUUGAAAAUAAACUUCAAAGUUACAUAGAUAUCAAUCAAGAAAACUUGAAAACAUUGUUAUUUAUCCUUGCCCUACCACCAACACCAGCUUUUACUUUUAAAUACUUCAAAAGCUACAUGGCUAUAAUACGGAAUAUUGAUUUAUUAUUACAAACUUUGAUUUAAUUUCUAAAGAUAAGGUAAUUAUAACUACUUGCUUAACCCCUAAGGACACAGUGAUAUAUUUGAGGAUAUGACAUACCACCACACUUGAACACUUUCAAAUGACUUAGUGAACUCCAAGGGCAAAUGAAGAUAUCUAUACAUAAUCAAGACUAUCCAAGUUUAAGUACGUAAUUCCUUUCUAAACUAAGAGAUCUGGCAAUGUUUCCAACUCAAAGUAGACUGAGACUAUGGAAACAGAGCACCCUGUAGACCUGUUAACAAAUAAUAUUCUCUAUCUGUUCUCUGUAAGAUUAUGAUUUAUUAAGUAUUUUAUUCCUGUUGAAGCUGUAAAACUUGCAGAAAUCUGUCAGGAAGAUAAGGUACACAUGCAGCAUCAGCUAUGACUCUACACAGAUGCAAGAACACCAGCUCUCUGAGGGAGGAAUGGAGAAACCAGUCACACUUCUCAGUACCAACCUUUCCUCAUGUUUUCACAAGAAACCCCAUCAAACUAUAACCUAUCUCAAGUGCUACUGAAGUACAAAACAGCAAGUGUUCAAUAACUGUCCACUCCUAACUCAUACAAUUCAAAAUACUCAUUUCAUGAUUCUAAAAACUGUUUUACUUUCUUAAAUAGCUUUAUGAUAAGCUUUCUUUCAGAAAUGCCAUCUAUCAACUAAUUUCAUAUAUCUAGAAAGUAACUACAAAGCAAGAAAUUAAUCAGUAUUAGGUGAUUUUUAAGUUUUAAAACUUUCUAUACAGCUCAAAUUGAGAGCAGCAAAUGUAAAAAGGCUGGCCCACCCUUCUGAAAACCCUGCUGGUCAUCACCUGACAAACGCUCAGGUCACUUUUGGUUUUAGCAGCCUGGCAAACUCAUAGCCUUCCCACGAGUCUGUGUUUUAGCUGCAGCAGACUUUCCUAAGCACUGUCCAAAGAAACCAGAAAACUCUGUCAAUUACUAAGUGUCUUGAGAACUAUGAACUAGCACUCUUACACACUAGGGAUAGCCAAGCCACAUACUACAACAUAAGCAAAAAAUACCUCCUUUAUCCUUUAAAGGAGUAACACACUGAAAGGACUAAAGGACAAAAAAACCAGCUCAGCUCAGUACAGUACCACACAUCUGGAGUCCAGGGACUGAGGAAGGAGGACCACUUGAGCACAUGAGCUCCAGAAUAGUCUGGGCAACACAGCAAGACCCUGUUUCAAAGUGGGCAAAAAGCAUGUGGGUGUGCACAUGUGUUCACACACACAUGCUCACACCCACACCCACACAUUCUAUUAAUCAUUAUAUAGUGGCAAGGUAAUAUGCAUUUAAAAUUAGCAAAAAUGUACUGAUAAAAAUAUGUAUUCUAUAACCUAUAUCUUAAAAAUAGAAUAUAACUUCUUUCAUUAAAUAUAUGAAUUUAGCUUUAAAAUGGUAAAAUCAGCCUGUUGUAGGUCGAAGGUCUUGUGCAUCUACUGGAGUCUCAUCGGUUGCCUUCUAUAAAGGUUGAGACUAGCACACUACAACCUAAAGGCCAAAUACGGGCAGGGUCAACUGCUCUGGUAUUAGCUGACAAGCAGUUUUAAUUUUCAAGGCUUUUUUGGGAAAAUAAUGUUUAAGAUACCACUUUGCUCUCUGGGUCUCUGUAGAAAAUGCUUGCCAUGCCCUGACUUGUAUCACAGAACUUCUCAGUGAAAUGUUCAGUUCCUACCACCAUAAAUACAAGUCUGUGGUGCUUUUGUUAGGCUGGAAAAACAACAAAAUUUCAAGCAGACAAAUACAUUAAGGACGGGUAUAUGUAGCUAAAAUAACAAAUAAGCAGGGCUGGAGAGUUGGCUCAGAGGUUAAGAGCACUGACUGCUCUUGCAGAGGUUCUGAGUUCAAAUCCCGGAAACCACAUGGUGGCUCACAACCAUCUGGGAUCUGAUGUCCUCUUCUGGUGUGUCUGAAGACAGCGACAAUGUACUCACAUACAUGAAAUACACACACACACACACACACACACACACACACACACACACACACACACAAAUAAGCAAAUAAAAGACAGUAACAAAAUACUCCCCAAAAGGAGCUCCAAAUCUUCCCCAAAAUUGAAGGUAAAAUUUAUUAAAAUGUACCUUGGAUAUUAUAAAUUACCAAAAUUAUUUGGAGUAGCUCUUUAAAAUCUUCCAAAACUUUAAAAUAUUAAAUUAUUUUUAAGAACUAUUAAUGAUUUUUCAAAGCAAAUUAAUUUCUAAAACAAGUCUAGUGAAAAGUGAGCAUUCAAGUUAUAGUUAGGCAAUAUAUUGUAUAAAAAAAUCCAUAAAUUACGAAUAAAUACAAGAAGGGCUAAGCACGGCUUAAGAAGUGUCUGUAUAUCUUAACUCUAUACAUGUUAGACAACUUACACUAUCUAAAAACCAAAUUUAAGUUCAUCUAUUUCUAUACCGUAUGCCUUUAACCUGACAAAAUGAACUGGGCAUGGUGGCAUAUGCCUGUAAUCCCAACACAUGGGAGGUAGAGGCGAGAGUUCAAGGCCAGCCUCUACUACAUAGUAAGUCUGAGAUUUGCCUGGGCUGUCUCUGUCAAAACACAAAAACCAAACAUAAACAAAGCAAAACAAAUUUUUAAAUUUCUAAAUUUUUAAAGGUGUUGGUAGUAUGUGUGUCACAAAACACUGUUUUUUUUGGUUUUUUGGUUUUUUUUUUGGUUCUUUUUUUCGGAGCUGGGGACCGAACCCAGGGCCUUGCGCUUCCUAGGUAAGCGCUCUACCACUGAGCUAAAUCCCCAGCCCCACAAAACACUGUUAAAGCUAGAAAGCUAUUUUAAAAGGAGAGGAGGUAGUGUUCUAAAUCAAUAAUGAACUACAGUAUACCAAAGCAUUAAUGUCAAACACAAAUAAUAAAUUAAAUUUAAGCUAUUUAAGAGCUAUUUAAGGCUCUUACCAAAUGAAAGGUGGAGAGCAACCCAGAGAUGAUAAGCCAAGAGACUCCUUUCACUGUGCUCUAUGGCUUCUACUCAAACUGUGGCCCAACUCUCCAACCAGCACCACCCGACAAUGCAAAGGAAUGCGCAACAUGGGCUUCAACACAAACACAAUGUCUGGACUUUGACUUUAAUAAGGUCAGCUGAUUUGUGUGCAUAUUCUAGUCCAAGAGGCCCUUUCUUCUGUGUUUACAGCCAGCCCAGUCUCGGGCUUUUCCUUUUCUCCAUGAAAUGUCAACUAUGAUUGAUGUUCACUAGUAUGAAAGGUGCCUUUGCAAGUUUAAACAAUUGAAGGAGUAAAGUAUUAAUGGUAAAAUCUAUACAGUAUGUUUUCAAUAAAAUUCCUUACAUUGAAUUAUUUCAUAGGAGGACUUAGGGAAAAGUUACAGAUAUUAUAAUUAUAUGUUCUGGGCUGCUUCUAAAUAAAAUCAAGAAGACUUGGAAAUAGAACAUAGAAACAAACCUCUCGUGCCUUUGGACUGCGGGAUGGACUUGGAUAAAAUAGCUCCCUACCCUGAAGCCGAGUGAUGCACACCAAGUCUCUAGAAACUAAGUAAACUGUGAGCCAACUGGCACGCAGGAGAUACCCACAGACAGUCAGACUACAGAAACUCACUUUUUAAGAAUAUCUAGUUGCUUUCUAAAUAUUCCCUUACUUUAAUCACAACUUUCUCCCUGAAGAAUAGACCCUCAAAAACUUUCCGCCAAAAAAUAAUUCUUCAAAUACAACUCAACAAAUCCUAAAAACUGCUUCUAAAACAGGAAAGUCAAACUUUAUUCCAUCAUUCUGUCUUUAUCAUUUCAGUGGGAAAAAAUUUCCACAUUUCUUGAAUCCUAAAUGUAAAAUGUACUCUAGGCAGAAGAAACAAUUUCAAAAUGAAAAGAAAACGGAAUACCAGGCAUAGUGGAGGACAUCUGUCAUCCCAGCACCUGCAAGACAGACUUAGGGGACUGAGAGUACAACCCCAGGCUGGGUACAGAGACCAUUGCAACCCCUACCAUCUAUCUACACCCCCCUCUCUCCUGUGCACACAUGGGGGGUGGGGGGAUCCAAAGUAAUAUUGUGGUUCCUAGAUAAGAAGUACUAUCUACUUGAGAAGACAUUUGCCAAAUAAACAUUAUUUUCUAUGUUAGAAUAAUAGAAAGACUGGAGAAUCACAUGAAAUGAGGAACAUGUAACAAUAGUUAUGGUGGCAAGUAGACCCCAAUGACACCAUUUGGAAAUGGAGAACAGUGGUGAGCAUCAUUUGGAGCACCCGGCAGAGUAGACGCACAUCUCUCCGGUGGCACUCACCUGUCUUGUCUUCGCUGAGGUCUCAAUGAAUGGAAUCCCAUAACUCCUUGCUAACUCCUGAGCCUGUUUCGUGUCUACUGUUCUAGAAGGCAAGUCACACUUAUUCCCUACUAGGACCAUAGGCACAUCUUCAGAGUCCUUUACUCUUUUAAUUUGUUCUCUGGGGAAGAAACAAAUGGAAGCAGAAGCAUAAGUAACACAAAAAUACUUCAAACUUUGACCUCAACUUCAUCUUACAAAACUGUAUUGAAUCGUUUCUUCAUAUGAAUCCUAGUUUCUACCCUACCAAAAUGUCCUCAUUUCUCUUAUUUUCCCUCUAAAACAAAAACCUUACAUAUCUGUUUGUUCAUAUGCAUAUAUAAAAUAAGAAAUAUACUAAAGUUUCAAAUCAAAAUGUUUAAAAUAUCUUACAAACAAGAUAUAUAUACAUAAAUGUGUAUGUAUACAGUUGAAAAUAUUUUCAUCCAACAGAUAUGGUGGCUCAGGCCUUCAAUCCCAGCAUUAGGGAGGCAGAGGCAGAAGGAGCACUGUGAAUUCCAGUCCAGUCUGGAUAGUGAGUUCCUCGCAAGCCGAAGCUACAUAGUAAACCCUACCUCAAGGAAAAACUGUGUUUUCACCCCAACAUGAAUUAAUGGCAUCAACAUAACUCUGACAUUUCCGAGGAUUCUUCCCUACCAUCUGUGGAAUAAUCAACUUGGGAAGACAGGCAACAGUGAACAGAAAACUAUGAAACUUUCACUGAGAGGACUCCUAUUACGAUUAAUAGUGAUUACAGCAGCCCAUGUGUGCUGAGCCCUUACUUACAGGCCCAACAGUGUGCUAAGCACUUACAGGUACUACCUCAGCCAGUCUCUAGCUUUGUCUUUCUUUAUGAAUAGGGGAGAUGAAACAUCAGCUCACAUGUUAUCUGGGGAUUUACCUCUGCAGUGGUUUGCUAUUUUCUUAACAUGUAUUACAAGUACUUUUCACUGUUUAGUAAUACCUAUGGGGAAAAAUUAUGAAAUUUACUUUCUCUAUUAAUCGUCUAGCACUUUAUAUUAUUACCUUUCUAAAGAUUUAAAUGCAUUAAAGAAUGGUGUGUUCCACACCACUGUUUAUAAAGACUGUACACUCAGUUCUCAAGGAUAGCUAGAAAUAUGCAUAGUGGCUGGACAUGACCAAUUAACAGACCUGAAGAGCCAAGGCUGGGGCUUGGGUGACACGUGUCUGUAAUCUCAGAACUCACUUGGGAGCUGAGGCAUGAGGAUCAAGAGUUUGAGGUCAGAGUCUAGUGAAUCCAGUGUAAGGCCAGCCUAGGGUACAUGAUACUCUCUUAAAAACCUCCAAUCGACUGCAGAAGAGGGGAGAAUGUGAAGUACAUGAAUAGAUAAAUAGAUAAUUGAUAAAUUCACUCCUACCCACUAUGUUCCUAUACCCAAGAACAGUUACUGUGAUCCUAAAGGCCACAUUUGUGCUGGUUAUUACAGCUCCUUAAUCUGAAGCAGAAACAUUCUAAAGUCCAAAUUUUUGGAUUAAGGAUGUUCAAGCAAUAAAACUUGCACAAAUAUUCCAAAAUCCUUGGAACUGAAAUUUGAAAAAUGUUUGGUUCUAAACAUUUCGUGUAAGAUAUUCAAUCUGUAUAUAGUUUCAAAAAGACACCAGAAAAAUUGUUUUAUCUUUCUUUUUCUUCUCUUUGUUUUUUUACUUUUCCCUGAAACGGUAGUCCUGGAAGCUGCUGUGUACAGCAGUGUCUACACUCAAGAGAGAGGGUAGUCCUGAAGCUGCUGUGUACGGCAGUGUCUACACUCAGAGAGAGGAGCUACCUAUACGUCCAAGAGCUGGGAUCAAAGGCAGGCACUACCAUACCUGCUUGGUGGGUUUGUUUUUCUGAAAUAGAGUAACUAUGUAGCCCAGACUGUUCUCAAAUUCAAAAUUCUCCUGCCUCGGUCCUCCAAGUGAUAGAACUAACUACAGGUGUGUACCAACACAACCAGCUCAAUCUGUAUAUGGAAGAAGAUCCAGAGGGGGAAAAAUGUAUAUAAGAAUUAAACAGACAGAAAUAAAUGUUAACACUAAGCAGGACAAAGUAGAAUGGUACUACACAAGAGAUCAACUUUGCCUUAAAGACAGGGGAAAGGAGGUCACUUAAGACAGGAGCCGAGAAAACAUACAAGUACAAUUCAUCUUAACUUAGUGGAGAUAAAGGUAUGUAGCAGGGAGUAAGACAGAUGCUCAAGCAAAAACUAAAUGUGGGAUGUCUACAUGAGAGAACCUUUCCAUAAAAAGGAAUGAAAUUUGUAACAACGACCUGGAAUCAUGUAUGUAAAAAUCAAACACAAGGCCAGGUAACAGUGGUGCACACCUUGAAUCCCAGCACUCGGGAGGCAGAAUUCAAGGCCAGCCUGGUCUACAAAGCAAGUUCCAAGCCAGUCAGAACUACAAAGAGAAACAUGAGACUAAAGAAAUACCAGAUACAAAAGCUACAUUGGAUGAUACAUGAUUCCCUUAAAUGACAUAUUAAGAAUAUGCACAUGCGGGGGCUGGAGAGAUGGGUCGAUGGUUAAGAACACUGACUGCUCUUCCAGAAAUCCUGAGUUCAAUUCCCAGUACCCAAAUGGUGGCUCACAACCAUCUGUAAUGAGAUCUGAUGCCCUCUUCUGGUGUGUCUGAAGACAGCUACAGUGUACUCAUGUACAUAAAAUAAAUCUUAAAAAAAUAAAAUAAAAAGAAUAUACACAUGCAAGCAGAUAGUAGUAAUGGCUGCCGGACUGGAAGGAGAAGGAUUUGGGGAGUGACCACUAAUGGGUGUGGGGCUUUCUGGUGUGCUGAGCAUAUCCUGGAAGUAGAUAGGUAGCAGUGAUGGUUAUGACUCUUAUAAAGGACUAGCAUCACUGGCUGCACACUGAAAAAGGUUAUUUUGUUCUAUGUGAUUUUCAGCGCAAUGUUUUAAGGAGUAGUGUAGAGAAGAUGAAUAUAAUCUUAAUUCCCAAUCUAAAGACAUUCUGACAUGCAGGUGCCUAGGACAGAAAUCUAAUCACCAGACAGGCCGGGAGUCUCCUGGCAGCUUCCUUCAUGUGGUAUGGACUUGUCAAACUACUUCCACCUCCCACCUGCUCCAAGCCACUGUUCUUUCAGGGACAACAAUGGAUACAAUCAUGCACAGGACAGUUAUUCAAGUGAGGAUUAAAAACAACAAAUAUAAAAAAAAAAAAAACAACAAAUACCCCUUCAUAAAAUGAAAAGUGCUAUACAAGUCCAUUCUUUCAUAUAGUACACCACGCCCGCCACUACUGACCACAAAGUGGGAUCCAGGUCACUGGCGAUUAGUGACUGCCCAGAAGCACACAGUCACUAGAGAUCUGUACUUAGAGUGGUCUUUACAGUUCUAGUUACCAUGUCAAACCACAACAGGUCUGGACAAAUCCCAGGAAAAACAAGCUAGAACUGACAGUUCAAGAUUUCUAUCUUGAUUGGUGAAUAAGAAUAUUAAAGAUCUUGUUCUCAUGAGAAAAUAUAAGAUCAUAAAAUUCUUUUGAAGUAGGAAUAAAGAAAACAAAAACUUAUUUUCUGAAUUCUAAGUUCUGGAAUUAGGAUAACUAACACUUUACAUUAGAGAAAAUGAAAUGUGCACUACUCCUUAAGAGAUAAACC